RNAcentral lists this ribosomal RNA (253 nucleotides) under uncultured bacterium. RNAcentral describes it as "partial 16S ribosomal RNA". It matches the Rfam family "Bacterial small subunit ribosomal RNA", at positions 524 to 776 of the family's 1533-position model. The record is from RNAcentral.
UACGGAGGGUGCAAGCGUUAUCCGGAUUCACUGGGGUUAAAGGGUGCGUAGGUGGGUUGGUAAGUCAGUGGUGAAAUCUCCGAGCUUAACUUGGAAACUGCCAUUGAUACUAUCAGUCUUGAAUACCGUGGAGGUCGGCGGAAUAUGUCAUGUAGCGGUGAAAUGCUUAGAUAUGACAUAGAACACCAAUUGCGAAGGCAGCUGACUACGCGAGUAUUGACACUGAGGCACGAAAGCGUGGGGAUCAAACAGG